CCAAUAGCGUAUAUUAAAGUUGUUGCGGUUAAAAAGCUCGUAGUUGAAUCUGUGUCGCACACCGUCGGUUCACCGCUCGCGGUGUUUAACUGGCGUGAUGUGGGACGUCCUACCGGUGGGCUCAGCCCCGCGAGGGGCGGCCCAACUAAUAUCCCGUCGCGGUGCUCUUUACUGAGUGUCGAGUCGGGCCGGUACGUUUACUUUGAACAAAUUAGAGUGCUUAAAGCAGGCUAUCCUCGCCUGAAUACUGCGUGCAUGGAAUAAUGGAAUAGGACCUCGGUUCUAUUUUGUUGGUUUUCGGAACCCCGAGGUAAUGAUUAAUAGGGACAGAUGGGGGCAUUCGUAUUGCGACGUUAGAGGUGAAAUUCUUGGA
Molecule: ribosomal RNA, 373 nt
Filed under: Crematogaster auberti
Lineage: Eukaryota; Metazoa; Arthropoda; Insecta; Hymenoptera; Formicidae
Description: SSU rRNA
Rfam family: Eukaryotic small subunit ribosomal RNA
Source: RNAcentral